UCAAAUUUGAAAUCUGGCACCUUCGGUGUCCGAGUUGUAAUUUGAAGAAGGUAACUUUGGAGUUGGCUCUUGUCUAUGUUCCUUGGAACAGGACGUCACAGAGGGUGAGAAUCCCGUGCGAUGAGAUGUCCAACUCUAUGUAAAGUGCUUUCGAAGAGUCGAGUUGUUUGGGAAUGCAGCUCUAAGUGGGUGGUAAAUUCCAUCUAAAGCUAAAUAUUGGCGAGAGACCGAUAGCGAACAAGUACAGUGAUGGAAAGAUGAAAAGAACUUUGAAAAGAGAGUGAAAAAGUACGUGAAAUUGUUGAAAGGGAAGGGUUUGAGAUCAGACUUGGUAUUUUGUAUGUCUUGCUUUCGGGUGGGGCCUCUGCAGUUUACUGGGCCAGCAUCGGUUUGGACGGUAGGAUAAUGACAUUGGAAUGUGGCACUACUUCGGUGGUGUGUUAUAGACUUUGUUGAUACUGCCUGUCUAGACCGAGGACUGCGUCUUUGACUAGGAUGCUGGCAUAAUGAUCCUAAACCGCCC
RNAcentral lists this ribosomal RNA (523 nucleotides) under Scheffersomyces shehatae. RNAcentral describes it as "eukaryotic LSU rRNA". It matches the Rfam family "Eukaryotic large subunit ribosomal RNA", at positions 109 to 650 of the family's 3401-position model. Lineage: Eukaryota; Fungi; Ascomycota; Pichiomycetes; Serinales; Debaryomycetaceae. The record is from RNAcentral.